UGAAAAUAUUUUUUUUCCCCCCACAUUUUCAAACUAAAAAACUGGUCAAUUUUGACCUGCAGGACAACAGGAGGGUUAAAGAAAGCAUGUUAUUUCCGACUGCAUCAGAACACAACAUGCUUCCCUUCCCUCUGUGUCCUUAAAGACACAAUCCCUCCAUUCAUUCAUCCAAACAUGCAGCAGAGAGUGAGUCUGUGUGAGAAAGAGAGGCGUUAAUGUUCCCAAAAGUUCUGCUGAAACCUCCUACUAGGAAAUCUGCCUCCGUUAAUCUCCGUUUGUUGGUUCAGGAUUACAAAUAAUCCCAUUAAAGACAGUUGAAGCAACACUUAGUGGCAAAUGAAAGGACUAAUUGAACAGCAGGUGUAAUUGUUGCAAACAUGAACAACACGGCACGGCGGUGUUUAUCACGUGUUGGAGCUCCUGUGUUCAGGAUGUGAGAAACACGCUGACAAACUGAAGUGUGAAGAAGCUGCAAGGCUUAGAAGCACUGUUCCCUCUAAACUGCGUGCGUGUGCAAUUGCGCACUGCUGACACGGUCUCCGCGCACAGAAAAUCUGCGCUGCGCACAAAAAAAAAAUCCAACCUAAAUUGUAAAUAAAACAAACACGUAACAAUUCAUUCUGUGCUAUUUUUCAAUGUGAGUCAGUGAGUGACCGGUGACUGGCUGCUGCAGCCAAUGAUGCGAUUCACAUACAUAUUUACCAUAGACUGUAUAUAAUGGUAUUUACGCAGCUAAUCAAUGUCAGACGUCCUUAUGUGCAGCCAUCGUUGUUCUCAUAGAUAUGAAUGAGUAGAUAGGACACGCCCCUUUGAGCUGCGUACUACUGCGAGGCUAAGCUAGUGGGGGCAAAGUUUCAGUGCAUUCAGUUGAUGUAGACGGUGUGAAAACGGAAACAAGUAUGCCUGCUCACUGUGCUGCAUACAAUUACACACUACGUCGUACGAUUGAGACAAGGAUACUUGGAAUGACUUUUCAUAGGUUUCCCAGAGACUAUGGGUUGAGGAGGAAUUGGAAGUUUGUCGGCUUAGACCUGGUGUUAUUCCAUCAGUGUUAAACUUCCCGGCUCAUCUUGGAAGAGUACGUGCCAGAAAGACCACGACCAAGCAGCCUUGAGGUCUUAGGCAGCGUCUCCCCGAGCUUUUUAUUGGAUAGGCGUAGUGAGAGACAGACAGGAAACGGGGGAGAAGAGUCGGGGGAAGACAUGAAGAAAAGGGCCGCGAGCGGUACUUGAACCCCAGCCGCUGCGUCAGGGACCAGCCUCUGUACAUGGUUCACCCACUUAACCUGUUGAGCUAUACAGGUACCCACGUUUUGUCUUUUUAAAGGUUUAAUGAUCUAAUUAAAUGUUUUGCAUUUUUUAAAAGGUUUAAUAGUGUUCUUGUUUAAUUGUAUUUUUUUUUUAA
Molecule: long non-coding RNA, 1404 nt
Organism: Amphiprion ocellaris (clown anemonefish)
Lineage: Eukaryota; Metazoa; Chordata; Actinopteri; Pomacentridae
Exons: 3
Source: RefSeq, a predicted model, not a curated record